Molecule: unclassified non-coding RNA, 247 nt
Filed under: Schizothecium sp.
Lineage: Eukaryota; Fungi; Ascomycota; Sordariomycetes; Sordariales; Schizotheciaceae
Description: partial internal transcribed spacer region
Rfam family: Eukaryotic small subunit ribosomal RNA (bases 1-46)
Source: RNAcentral
AAGUCGUAACAAGGUCUCCGUUGGUGAACCAGCGGAGGGAUCAUUACAGAGUUGCAAAACUCCCAACCAUUGUGAACCUACCUCACCGUUGCUUCGGCGGGUGGCCUGGGGCAACCCAGGCCGCGCCGGCUCCCCUUCAAGGGCCUUGGCAGACCCGUCAGAGGACCGAAACUCUUCGUCAUCAGUGGCCUCUCUGAGUAACUUAUACAAUAAGUCAAAACUUUCAACAACGGAUCUCUUGGUUCUG